Molecule: ribosomal RNA, 805 nt
Filed under: uncultured bacterium
Lineage: Bacteria
Description: bacterial SSU rRNA
Rfam family: Bacterial small subunit ribosomal RNA
Source: RNAcentral
AGAGUUUGAUCCUGGCUCAGAACGAACGCUGGCGGCGCGUUUUAAGCAUGCAAGUCGAGCGGCAAGGGGGGCUUCGGCCCCCCCUAGAGCGGCGGACGGGUGAGUAACACGUGGACAAUCUGCCCCCCGGUUCGGGAUAGCCCAGGGAAACCUGGAUCAAUACCGGAUGCGAGGGCGGCCGCAUAUGCGGCUGUUCGGAAAGGCGCUUCGGCGCCGCCGGGGGAUGAGUCCGCGUCCCAUUAGCUAGACGGCGGGGUAAGGGCCCACCGUGGCGAUGAUGGGUAGCCGGCCUGAGAGGGUGUACGGCCACAUUGGAACUGAGACACGGUCCAGACUCCUACGGGAGGCAGCAGCUAAGAAUCUUCCGCAAUGGGCGAAAGCCUGACGGAGCGACGCCGCGUGAACGAAGAAGGCCGUGAGGUUGUAAAGUUCUUUUCGGGAGGGGGAACGAGCCUGCCAGGCAAUGGGCGGGCGCUGACGUGAAUCCCGGAAUAAGCCCCGGCUAACUACGUGCCAGCAGCCGCGGUAACACGUAGGGGGCGAGCGUUGUUCGGAAUCAUUGGGCGUAAAGGGCGUGCAGGCGGCCGCCAAAGUCCGGCGUGAAAGACCCAGGCUCAACCUGGGGGGUGCGCCGGAUACUGGGCGGCUUGAGUACAGGAGGGGACGGCGGAAUUCCAGGUGUAGGGGUGAAAUCUGUAGAUAUCUGGAGGAACACCGAUGGCGAAGGCAGCCGUCUGGCCAUGUACUGACGCUGAGGCGCGAAGGUGCGGGGAGCAAACAGGUUUAGAUACCCUGGUAGUCCGCA